RNAcentral lists this ribosomal RNA (403 nucleotides) under Verrucomicrobiota bacterium. RNAcentral describes it as "Verrucomicrobia bacterium partial 16S ribosomal RNA". It matches the Rfam family "Bacterial small subunit ribosomal RNA", at positions 355 to 776 of the family's 1533-position model. Lineage: Bacteria; Pseudomonadati; Verrucomicrobiota. The record is from RNAcentral.
UGGGGAAUAUUGCACAAUGGGCGCAAGCCUGAUGCAGCAACGCCGCGUGAACGAUGAAGGUCUUCGGAUCGUAAAGUUCUGUUGCAGGGGAAGAUAAUGACGGUACCCUGUGAGGAAGCCCCGGCUAACUACGUGCCAGCAGCCGCGGUAAUACGUAGGGGGCUAGCGUUAUCCGGAUUUACUGGGCGUAAAGGGUGCGUAGGUGGUCUUUCAAGUCGGUGGUUAAAGGCUACGGCUCAACCGUAGUUAGCCUCCGAAACUGGAAGACUUGAGUGCAGGAGAGGAAAGUGGAAUUCCCAGUGGAGCGGUGAAAUGCGUAGAUAUUGGGAGGAACACCAGUAGCGAAGGCGGCUUUCUGGACUGCAACUGACACUGAGGCACGAAAGCGUGGGUAGCAAACAGG